This 233-nucleotide long non-coding RNA is filed under the name Elaeis guineensis (African oil palm). RNAcentral describes it as "long non-coding RNA (EGUI_LNC015029)". Lineage: Eukaryota; Viridiplantae; Streptophyta; Magnoliopsida; Arecales; Arecaceae. The record is from RNAcentral.
CAGAUCCUAUCUAAAGGGAGAUGAGGUGUUGGGAUGUGAAGGAGGAAGGGAGGAGGACGAUGGAAAGAACAAGGGGCAGCAACGUAGAAUCCAUUAGAACCAUCAUACCACCACACCCUACAUUUUUUUUCAUAUAUUUGUCGCACAAAUAUCAGCCCUCAAUGCCUUCCAGAUAAAAUUUUAUUCUCUUCCUUAUUUGAAUCAAAUUCAAUUAGGAAGAAUGGACCAAAAUG